CCUACGGGAGGCAGCAGUGGGGAAUAUUGCACAAUGGGGGAAACCCUGAUGCAGCGACGCCGCGUGAGUGAAGAAGUAUUUCGGUAUGUAAAGCUCUAUCAGCAGAGAAGAUGAAAGACGGUACCUGACUAAGAAGCCCCGGCUAACUACGUGCCAGCAGCCGCGGUAAUACGGAGGGGGCAAGCGUUAUCCGGAUUUACUGGGUGUAAAGGGAGCGUAGACGGCUGUGCAAGUCUGAAGUGAAAGCCAAGGGCGUAACCCUGGGACUGCUUUGGAAACUGUGGAGCUAGAGUGCGGGAGAGGUAAGUGGAAUUCCUAGUGUAGCGGUGAAAUGCGUAGAGAUUAGGAGGAACACCAGUGGCGAAGGCGGCUUACUAGACAGUAACUGACGUUGAUGCGCGAAAGCGUGGGGAGCAAACAGGAUUAGAUACCCCUGUAGUC
Molecule: ribosomal RNA, 441 nt
Filed under: uncultured bacterium
Lineage: Bacteria
Description: partial 16S ribosomal RNA
Rfam family: Bacterial small subunit ribosomal RNA
Source: RNAcentral